UCAGGCCAAAACGAGGCACGGCGUACAGCUCAGUAACACGUGGCUAACCUGCCCUUGGGACAAGAACAACCCCGGGAAACUGGGGCUAAUUCUUGAUAAGCGAAGAACUCUGGAAUGAGUCUUCACUUAAAAGGCGUUUAAGCUAUGCUUUUAGGCGUUGCCCAAGGAUGGGGCCGCGACCGAUCAGGUUGUUGGUGAGGUAGUGGCUCACCAAGCCGUUUACCGGUGCGGGCCGUGAGAGCGGGAGCCCGGAGAUGGGCACUGAGACAAGGGCCCAGGCCCUACGGGGCGCAGCAGUCGCGAAAACUUUGCAAUAAGCGAAAGCUUGACAGGGCUAUCCCGAGUGCCAUCCGCUGAGGAAGGCUUUUACCCAGUCUAGAACGCUGGGGGAAUAAGGAGAGGGCAAGUCUGGUGUCAGCCGCCGCGGUAAUACCAGCUCUUCGAGUGGUGUGGAUGUUUAUUGGGCCUAAAGCAUCCGUAGCUGGCUAGGUUAGUCCUUUGUUAAAUCCACCGAAUUAAUCGUUGGAUUGCGGGGGAUACUGCUUGGCUAGGGGACGGGAGAGGCAGACGGUAUUUUCGGGGUAGGGGUGAAAUCCUAUAAUCCCGGGAAGACCACCAGUGGCGAAGGCUGUCUGCUAGAACGCGCCCGACGGUGAGGGAUGAAAGCUGGGGGAGCGAACCGGAUUAGAUACCCGGGUAGUCCCAGCUGUAAACGAUGCAGGCUAGGUGUUUGGACGGCCACGUGCCGUUCUAGUGCCGCAGGGAAGCUGUUAAGCCUGCCGCCUGGGGAGUACGAUCGCAAGAUUGAAACUUAAAGGAAUUGGCGGGGGAGCACCACAAGGGGUGAAGCUUGCGGU
This 857-nucleotide ribosomal RNA is filed under the name uncultured archaeon. Its description in RNAcentral is "bacterial SSU rRNA". It matches the Rfam family "Archaeal small subunit ribosomal RNA", at positions 58 to 901 of the family's 1478-position model. The record is from RNAcentral.